Molecule: ribosomal RNA, 500 nt
Filed under: uncultured bacterium
Lineage: Bacteria
Description: partial 16S ribosomal RNA
Rfam family: Bacterial small subunit ribosomal RNA
Source: RNAcentral
AUUGAACGCUGGCGGCAUGCUUUACACAUGCAAGUCGAACGGUAACAGGGAGCUUGCUCCGCUGACGAGUGGCGAACGGGUGAGUAAUAUAUCGGAACGUACCCAAGAGUGGGGGAUAACGUAGCGAAAGUUACGCUAAUACCGCAUACGAUCUAAGGAUGAAAGCAGGGGAUCUUCGGACCUUGUGCUCCUGGAGCGGCCGAUAUCUGAUUAGCUAGUUGGUGAGGUAAAGGCUCACCAAGGCGACGAUCAGUAGCUGGUCUGAGAGGACGACCAGCCACACUGGAACUGAGACACGGUCCAGACUCCUACGGGAGGCAGCAGUGGGGAAUUUUGGACAAUGGGCGCAAGCCUGAUCCAGCAAUGCCGCGUGAGUGAAGAAGGCCUUCGGGUUGUAAAGCUCUUUUGUCAGGGAAGAAACGGGAGUGGCUAAUAUCCAUUCCUAAUGACGGUACCUGUAGAAUAAGCACCGGCUAACUACGUGCCAGCAGCCGCAGUAA